GAUGAACGCUGGCGGCGUGCCUAAUACAUGCAAGUCGAGCGAACAGACGAGGAGCUUGCUCCUCUGACGUUAGCGGCGGACGGGUGAGUAACACGUGGAUAACCUACCUAUAAGACUGGGAUAACUUCGGGAAACCGGAGCUAAUACCGGAUAAUAUAUUGAACCGCAUGGUUCAAUAGUGAAAGACGGUUUUGCUGUCACUUAUAGAUGGAUCCGCGCCGCAUUAGCUAGUUGGUAAGGUAACGGCUUACCAAGGCAACGAUGCGUAGCCGACCUGAGAGGGUGAUCGGCCACACUGGAACUUAGACACGGUCCAGACUCCUACGGGAGGCAGCAGUAGGGAAUCUUCCGCAAUGGGCGAAAGCUUGACGGAGCAACGCCGCGCGAGUGAUGAAGGUCUUCGGAUCGUAAAACUCUGUUAUUAGGGAAGAACAAAUGUGUAAGUAACUAUGCACGUCUUGACGGUACCUAAUCAGAAAGCCACGGCUAACUACGUG
RNAcentral lists this ribosomal RNA (497 nucleotides) under uncultured bacterium. Its description in RNAcentral is "partial 16S ribosomal RNA". It matches the Rfam family "Bacterial small subunit ribosomal RNA", at positions 28 to 507 of the family's 1533-position model. The record is from RNAcentral.